UUAAACUGAAGAGUUUGAUCAUGGCUCAGAUUGAACGCUGGCGGCAGGCUUAACACAUGCAAGUCGAGCGGUAGCACAGAG
Molecule: ribosomal RNA, 81 nt
Filed under: Maribrevibacterium harenarium
Lineage: Bacteria; Pseudomonadati; Pseudomonadota; Gammaproteobacteria; Oceanospirillales; Oceanospirillaceae
Description: Marinomonas sp. HB171799 partial 16S ribosomal RNA
Rfam family: Bacterial small subunit ribosomal RNA
Source: RNAcentral